UGUAUAAUGGGUCAGCGACUUAUAUUCUGUAGCAAGGUUAACCGAAUAGGGGAGCCGAAGGGAAACCGAGUCUUAACUGGGCGUUAAGUUGCAGGGUAUAGACCCGAAACCCGGUGAUCUAGCCAUGGGCAGGUUGAAGGUUGGGUAACACUAACUGGAGGACCGAACCGACUAAUGUUGAAAAAUUAGCGGAUGACUUGUGGCUGGGGGUGAAAGGCCAAUCAAACCGGGAGAUAGCUGGUUCUCCCCGAAAGCUAUUUAGGUAGCGCCUCGUGAAUUCAUCUCCGGGGGUAGAGCACUGUUUCGGCAAGGGGGUCAUCCCGACUUACCAACCCGAUGCAAACUGCGAAUACCGGAGAAUGUUAUCACGGGAGACACACGGCGGGUGCUAACGUCCGUCGUGAAGAGGGAAACAACCCAGACCGCCAGCUAAGGUCCCAAAGUCAUGGUUAAGUGGGAAACGAUGUGGGAAGGCCCAGACAGCCAGGAUGUUGGCUUAGAAGCAGCCAUCAUUUAAAGAAAGCGUAAUAGCUCACUGGUCGAGUCGGCCUGCGCGGAAGAUGUAACGGGGCUAAACCAUGCACCGAAGCUGCGGCAGCGACACUAUGUGUUGUUGGGUAGGGGAGCGU
RNAcentral lists this ribosomal RNA (629 nucleotides) under Escherichia coli. Its description in RNAcentral is "partial 23S ribosomal RNA". It matches the Rfam family "Bacterial large subunit ribosomal RNA", at positions 609 to 1239 of the family's 2925-position model. Lineage: Bacteria; Pseudomonadati; Pseudomonadota; Gammaproteobacteria; Enterobacterales; Enterobacteriaceae. The record is from RNAcentral.